Long non-coding RNA from Centrocercus urophasianus (Greater sage-grouse), 675 nucleotides. RefSeq lists it as uncharacterized. Lineage: Eukaryota; Metazoa; Chordata; Aves; Galliformes; Phasianidae. The record is from RefSeq and is a predicted model, not a curated record. The transcript has 3 exons.
UACUCUUCUAGUACAACUCAGCUCCUCUAUAGCUUACCUUCAUGUUACCUUCUGCUGAGCCUGUAACAAAAUAGUCCUCAGAAGGAUCCAGUGCAAGGGCCUUAACAGCUGAAUCGUGUGCUUGGAAGGUAUAAAGGAUUUGCCUCUGUCUGAUGUCAAAGAUGCAGAUGUAUCCCUUCCUACCACCAGAAAUCAGCAGCUGAUGCUUUGGUGCAUACUGUAGUACCGUGGCACCAUGAUCGUGACAAGUGAAGGCUGAAGAAGAAGGAUGCCACAGUUUAAUAGAUUUGAAACUGUGCCCUGACUGGAAUUCUUUAAAAUGAGACAGAACUUCAGUGCAAUCUGCUGGUUUAAAAAAGUGAAUCUAAGAAUGUACCUAUUGUUUACACAGCAGCAUGUCAGAACUUUCUGAACGUGGAAUACAUCAUGGAAAAACUGUUUAAUUCUUAACCAUCCCUCACAAACUAAAUGCUGGAAAAAAAAUGACCGAAGGAGUGAUGUUCAAAGAAAUAAUCUGUCAGGUCUGAGCAGUAAGUAAACUUGUAAUGCUAAGCCUUAAAACAUCAGCCACGUAUUAAUGCGUGACAAGCAGUGGGUUAGUAGACAUCAGUAGGUAGCUCUGGUGAAAUGCCGCAGUUUCUUUAAACACACCUGUUGUCAUUGGACUGUCCUGAC